RNAcentral lists this ribosomal RNA (321 nucleotides) under uncultured Chloroflexota bacterium. Its description in RNAcentral is "bacterial SSU rRNA". It matches the Rfam family "Bacterial small subunit ribosomal RNA", at positions 28 to 351 of the family's 1533-position model. The record is from RNAcentral. Lineage: Bacteria; Bacillati; Chloroflexota.
GAUGAACGCUGGCGGCGUGCCUAAUACAUGCAAGUCGAACGGAGAGAGUAGCAAUACUGUCUUAGUGGCGAACGGGUGAGUAACGCGUUGGUGACCUGCCCCGAAGCGAGGGAUAACAGUUCGAAAGGAUUGCUAAUACCCCAUGAUAUCUACCUAGUCAGAGAGGGUAGAUGAAAGGAGAAAUCCGCUUUGGGAGGGGCCUGCGUCCCAUCAGCUAGUUGGUAGGGUAAAGGCCUACCAAGGCAAAGACGGGUAGGGGGCCUGAGAGGGUGACCCCCCACACUGGCACUGAAACACGGGCCAGACACCUACGGGUGGCAG